UACAGUCAUAUCAUGUUGAAUCAUUGGUUCCCGUACAGUCUCCGAAGUUAAGCAAUGCCAAAUCCGGUCAGUACCUAGAUUGGUGAUCACUUGGGAAUACCAGGUGCUGUAAG
Molecule: non-coding RNA, 113 nt
Organism: Acanthosepion pharaonis
Lineage: Eukaryota; Metazoa; Mollusca; Cephalopoda; Sepiida; Sepiidae
Source: the annotation of a GenBank genome assembly